This 674-nucleotide ribosomal RNA is filed under the name uncultured bacterium. RNAcentral's name for it is "bacterial SSU rRNA". It matches the Rfam family "Bacterial small subunit ribosomal RNA", at positions 100 to 753 of the family's 1533-position model. The record is from RNAcentral.
GCACGGGUGAGUAACACGUGGGUAAUCUGCCUUUGGGUGGGGAAUAACGAUCCGAAAGGAUCGCUAAUACCGCAUAACGCAGCGGCACCGCAUGGUGACAGUUGUUAAAGGGGGGGAUCGAAAGACCUCUCGCCUGAAGAGGAGCCCGCGUCCGAUUAGCUUGUUGGUGAGGUAACGGCUCACCAAGGCAACGAUCGGUAGCCGGCCUGAGAGGGCGGUCGGCCACACUGGCACUGAGACACGGGCCAGACUCCUACGGGAGGCAGCAGUGGGGAAUUUUGGGCAAUGGGCGAAAGCCUGACCCAGCAACGCCGCGUGAAGGACGAAAUCCCUCUGGGAUGUAAACUUCGAAAGUCAGGAAAGAAAUCCACGAGGAUAACACCCUUGUGGGAUGACGGUACCUGACGUAAGCCCCGGCUAACUACGUGCCAGCAGCCGCGGUAAUACGUAGGGGGCAAGCGUUGUUCGGAAUUACUGGGCGUAAAGGGCGCGUAGGCGGCACGGCAAGUCGGGAGUGAAAGGCCUGGGCUCAACCGAGGAACUGCUUUCGAGACUGCCGAGCUAGAGUGCGGAAGGGGCAACUGGAAUUCCCAGUGUAGCGGUGAAAUGCGUAGAUAUUGGGAAGAACACCUGAGGCGAAGGCGGGUUGCUGGGCCGACACUGACGCUGAGGCG